Molecule: ribosomal RNA, 484 nt
Filed under: uncultured bacterium
Lineage: Bacteria
Description: partial 16S ribosomal RNA
Rfam family: Bacterial small subunit ribosomal RNA
Source: RNAcentral
GAUGAACGCUGGCGGCGUGCUUAACACAUGCAAGUCGAACGGACUUUAUAUGAAGCCUAGCGAUUAUAAAGUUAGUGGCGGACGGGUGAGUAACGCGUGAAUAACCUGCCCUGUACCGGGGGACAACAGUUGGAAACGGCUGCUUAUACGGCAUAAGCGCAGGCUUCCGCAUGGAACACUGUGAAAAACUCCGGUGGUACAGGAUGGAGUCGCGUCUGAGUAGCCAGUUGGUGGGGUAACGGCCUACCAAAGCAACGAUCAGUAGCCGCACUGGGAGGGUGACCGGCCCCAUUGGAACAGAGACACGGCCCAAACUCCUACGGGAGGCAGCAGUGGGGAAUAUUGCACAAGGGGGGAAACCCUGAUGCAGCGACGCCGCGUGAGUGAAGAAGUUAUUCGUAACGUAAAGCUCUAUCAGCAGGGAAGAAAAUGACGGUACCUGACUAAGAAGCCCCGGCUAACUACGUGCCAGCAGCCGCCGCCG